CAGCUCUUGUGCAGAAAAAGGGCUCAACAACACAAUGAAAACGACGACGACCGCCGGCAUAAGCUCAUGAAGUACAGAGAGUCAUCUGCUCGGUCUAGAGCAAGAAAACUGGCUUACAGAAAGGAGUUGGAACAUGAAGCUGCUCGAUUAAAGGAAGAAAAUGCCAAGCUUAGAAAACAUCAGGUGAAGUUGUUGUCGGCAGCGCCGAAUCAGUUUCCAAAAAGGAACAGUCUAAGGAGAACCUUAACAGCUCCAUUUUGAGAAGCAAAGAA
Molecule: long non-coding RNA, 272 nt
Organism: Hibiscus syriacus
Lineage: Eukaryota; Viridiplantae; Streptophyta; Magnoliopsida; Malvales; Malvaceae
Exons: 3
Source: RefSeq, a predicted model, not a curated record